AACGCUGGCGGCGUGCCUAACACAUGCAAGUCGAACGGGGUGAUUUCCUUCGGGAGAUCACUUAGUGGCGAACGGGUGAGUAACGCGUGAGAAACCUGCCUUUCAGUGGGGGACAACAGUUGGAAACGACUGCUAAUACCGCAUAACAUAUACCGGGGGCAUCCCUGGUAUAUCAAAGCUUUAUGUGCUGAAAGAUGGCCUCGCGUCUGAUUAGAUAGUUGGUGGGGUAACGGCCUACCAAGUCGACGAUCAGUAGCCGGUCUGAGAGGAUGAACGGCCACAUUGGGACUGAGACACGGCCCAGACUCCUACGGGAGGCAGCAGUGGGGAAUAUUGCACAAUGGGGGAAACCCUGAUGCAGCGACGCCGCGUGAAGGACGAAGGUCUUCGGAUCGUAAACUUUUGUCUUCAGGGACGAUAAUGACGGUACCUGAGGAGGAAGCCACGGCUAACUACGUG
RNAcentral lists this ribosomal RNA (459 nucleotides) under uncultured bacterium. RNAcentral describes it as "bacterial SSU rRNA". It matches the Rfam family "Bacterial small subunit ribosomal RNA", at positions 32 to 507 of the family's 1533-position model. The record is from RNAcentral.